GUAUCUGGUUCUUGAUACUGUAUUGUCUUAUUGAGCUCAUCUCUAAUCUCUUCAAGAUGCUGUUGGACAAUCUCCUGUGAUCAGAACCAUGUAAGGAAUCAGGCAGUGUGACGUCAUCUAGAGUAUCAUCUACAGGGAGCGCCAUGGACUGGUGUGUGGAGAUAGUAUCAUUAUCAUUAAGGAAGUGGUGGGCUGUUACUUGCUGCUGUCAGUGCUGUGGCAAUUAAUUCAUCUCUCCAAGAAUCAGAAUCAAUCAGCUUGUGAAGUUCGAAUACCCACGUCAGGAUCUCUGUUGUAUUUCCCUGUCCAGUGGCUCUGAUCUGCAACACAUUGUAAAUGACAUUAUUUUAUUAAAUUAAAUAUACCAAAGCAAUGAUCAACAAUUAUAUAAUUACUACCCUAAAAUAUUAUACAUCAUGAUAUAGGAGAUGCACCUUUAUUUUAUAAUAUGUACAGUACUGUAUAUAUCAAGAGAAGAGACAGGAAGG
Molecule: long non-coding RNA, 488 nt
Organism: Homarus americanus (American lobster)
Lineage: Eukaryota; Metazoa; Arthropoda; Malacostraca; Decapoda; Nephropidae
Exons: 3
Source: RefSeq, a predicted model, not a curated record